GUUUGCGAAUUGCAGAAAAAGAUGUUUACGUACAAAUAAAAAUAUCUAGAGAGAUAAUACAAAAUAAUUAGUGAAAUAGUUGUAAAAUUCUAGAUUCUUGAUCUAUUUUUCAAAUAAAUUUUAUCGCUAGUUGAUUUAUCUGGACUAUAUUGAUAGAUCUAGAUCACUGUCAAGCUCUUUGAUCUCUUUUGUUGGUCUUAUAAUAAUUUGAAAAAAGGGCGUAAAACUGACUGCCGCCGAUUAUAAACAAACAACGGCACUUUCACUUUCAAUCAGCAACUCAUUCCAUUGAGCUGAUGUUUGUAACACUGUUGUCUCAUGUACUCACAUGGACUGUUGUAGUUGCAGUAUUACUAAAGGCUUUCUCCGACCCCGAUGAUAAAAAAAGGGGAACCUUGAGCCUCGACUCUAAUGUGCAGUGUGUCUUGAGGGUCUUCUUCUGUGAAGCCCUGUUCCAGCUGAAUACUACUGAAAUAGAUAACUUAAACAAAUUGUUGACUUGUUUUCAAGAAACGAUGUGCUUACGGAAAGAAGUCCAAAUGUUUUGGUUCGAGAAGAUUCAAAUGACAAGGGAACUUAUCAAUGGUACACUAUAGUUGAAUCGUUUCGCAAUCUGUGUAUGAAAAAGAGAGUAUGUCAUUUGCUAAAUCUGGACAAGAGAAAGCAACUCUCCGACUUCUGUCUGUUGUGACCAGUUUUAUCUUUUUGUUUCUUUUUAGCCUUGGAAAACAAAAAUACAUUGUUUAAAUAUUCAAA
Molecule: RNA transcript, 756 nt
Organism: Biomphalaria glabrata
Lineage: Eukaryota; Metazoa; Mollusca; Gastropoda; Planorbidae
Exons: 5
Source: RefSeq, a predicted model, not a curated record